UACGAAGGGGGCUAGCGUUGCUCGGAAUCACUGGGCGUAAAGCGCACGUAGGCGGAUUGUUAAGUCAGGGGUGAAAUCCUGGAGCUCAACUCCAGAACUGCCUUUGAUACUGGCGAUCUCGAGUCCGGGAGAGGUGAGUGGAACUGCGAGUGUAGAGGUGAAAUUCGUAGAUAUUCGGAGGAACACCAGUGGCGAAGGCGGCUCACUGGUCCAUUACUGACGCUGAGGUGCGAAAGCGUGGGGAGCAAACAGG
This 253-nucleotide ribosomal RNA is filed under the name uncultured bacterium. RNAcentral's name for it is "partial 16S ribosomal RNA". It matches the Rfam family "Bacterial small subunit ribosomal RNA", at positions 524 to 776 of the family's 1533-position model. The record is from RNAcentral.